GAUGAACGCUGGCGGCGUGCUUAACACAUGCAAGUCGAACGGAAAGGCCCAAGCUUGCUUGGGUACUCGAGUGGCGAACGGGUGAGUAACACGUGGGUGAUCUGCCCUGCACUUCGGGAUAAGCCUGGGAAACUGGGUCUAAUACCGGAUAGGACCACAUUUUGGAUGGUGUGGUGGAAAGUUUUUCGGUGUGGGAUGAGCUCGCGGCCUAUCAGCUUGUUGGUGGGGUAAUGGCCUACCAAGGCGUCGACGGGUAGCCGGCCUGAGAGGGUGUACGGCCACAUUGGGACUGAGAUACGGCCCAGACUCCUACGGGAGGUAGCAGUGGGGAAUAUUGCACAAUGGGCGCAAGCCUGAUGCAGCGACGCCGCGUGGGGGAUGACGGCCUUCGGGUUGUAAACUCCUUUCGCUAGGGACGAAGCGUUUUUGUGACGGUACCUGGAGAAGAAGCACCGGCUAACUACGUG
RNAcentral lists this ribosomal RNA (467 nucleotides) under uncultured bacterium. Its description in RNAcentral is "partial 16S ribosomal RNA". It matches the Rfam family "Bacterial small subunit ribosomal RNA", at positions 28 to 507 of the family's 1533-position model. The record is from RNAcentral.